Molecule: non-coding RNA, 90 nt
Organism: Drosophila virilis
Lineage: Eukaryota; Metazoa; Arthropoda; Insecta; Diptera; Drosophilidae
Source: RefSeq, a predicted model, not a curated record
AUCGGCGGACGAACGAUGCCUGCCACGAUCGAUACUGGAGCCACUCGAAGCUUCAUGAGUGAAGACUGCGUACGCAAGUGGACGAUUCGG